UCCCUUGUAGUUCAGUUGGUAGAACACCGGACUGUUAAUCCGUAUGUCGCUGGUUCGAGUCCAGCCGGGGGAGCCA
Molecule: transfer RNA, 76 nt
Filed under: Sulfitobacter sp. R18_1
Lineage: Bacteria; Pseudomonadati; Pseudomonadota; Alphaproteobacteria; Rhodobacterales; Roseobacteraceae
Description: tRNA-Asn
Rfam family: tRNA
About the family: Transfer RNA (tRNA) molecules are approximately 80 nucleotides in length. Their secondary structure includes four short double-helical elements and three loops (D, anti-codon, and T loops).
Source: RNAcentral